Molecule: ribosomal RNA, 367 nt
Filed under: uncultured bacterium
Lineage: Bacteria
Description: bacterial SSU rRNA
Rfam family: Bacterial small subunit ribosomal RNA
Source: RNAcentral
GAAAGUGACGGUACCUGGAGAAGAAGCACCGGCCAACUACGUGCCAGCAGCCGCGGUAAUACGUAGGGUGCGAGCGUUGUCCGGAAUUACUGGGCGUAAAGAGUUCGUAGGCGGUUUGUCGCGUCGUUCGUGAAAACUUGGGGCUUAACUCCAAGCGUGCGGGCGAUACGGGCAGACUUGAGUACUACAGGGGAGACUGGAAUUCCUGGUGUAGCGGUGAAAUGCGCAGAUAUCAGGAGGAACACCGGUGGCGAAGGCGGGUCUCUGGGUAGUAACUGACGCUGAGGAACGAAAGCGUGGGUAGCGAACAGGAUUAGAUACCCUGGUAGUCCACGCUGUAAACGGUGGGUACUAGGUGUGGGUUCCU